UACGUAGGGCGCAAGCGUUGUCCGGAAUUAUUGGGCGUAAAGAGCUCGUAGGCGGCUUGUCACGUCGGGUGUGAAAGCCCGGGGCUUAACCCCGGGUCUGCAUUCGAUACGGGCUAGCUAGAGUGUGGUAGGGGAGAUCGGAAUUCCUGGUGUAGCGGUGAAAUGCGCAGAUAUCAGGAGGAACACCCGUGGCGAAGGCGGCCAGCUGGGAUACACCUGACGCUGAGGCACGAAGGCGUGGGGAGCGAACGGG
Molecule: ribosomal RNA, 253 nt
Filed under: uncultured bacterium
Lineage: Bacteria
Description: partial 16S ribosomal RNA
Rfam family: Bacterial small subunit ribosomal RNA
Source: RNAcentral